RNA transcript from Strongylocentrotus purpuratus (purple sea urchin), 2181 nucleotides. RefSeq lists it as uncharacterized. The record is from RefSeq and is a predicted model, not a curated record. Lineage: Eukaryota; Metazoa; Echinodermata; Echinoidea; Camarodonta; Strongylocentrotidae. The transcript has 6 exons.
UGUUCCAUUUCUCUUGGUCGUAAGAUGAUUAAAAAUUGAGAGGAGAGUUUUGAGAGGCUGUUUGGAUGGUCAAUUAAUCAGGCACCCCCAUAGCCUGAUUGUGCUGGAUGAGCACAUCCAUCCUGUGUGUCUGGUAUCUGACCAUUCACUGCACUACUGACCAUGCUGGCUGACCAGUCCUGCAUGGUGUGGACACUUUCACCUCAAUAAUCAGAAGAAGAAUUAAGGAAAUUCAUAGAGGAGAUAUUUAGAAUAGGAAAUGAAGAUUGUCUUUGUAAUGUUCACAAGGCAGUUUAACUCUAUGCUGAUGACUAUACAGUGAGGGCGGAGGGAGCACCUGUUUUACCUCUCCCGAUCUUGGAAUAAGAUGUCUGCAAGUUCUUGCAUGAAUUGAAGUGACAUUACAUUGAUGUGUUGGAAGGAAAGACAUGGCUCUGUAAAGCUUUACAUCUCUUGUUUAAAGUCUGGAUAAGAAGAUUGGACUUAUGCAACCUGUAUCACUUUUAAUAUCAAGAAGCAAGAACUCUGACUGAUAUUCACCCUGAAAAUCUUCAAGUCUCCUUUACAGACGGACCAUUGGAUUGACUCUACGUGGCUUGCCAACUUACAGGACAAAUUACACGGAGAAUAAUCACCGGACAACUCAAAUCAUCUUGACAAAGUGUGGGUCCCAUGUCUGGCAAUCUCUCCUAAUCACCUCUCAGCGGCGAGAUUGAAAGAAAAGCGACCAAUCAUCUUAGGCUGGUAGAUCACCUCACCCUUGACCUCUUACAUUGACCCUUCUCUCUCCCGCCCUGCUGCUGGUGAGUUACUUGGUCGGUCACCAUUUUGUAAUUGGGCUACCUUGCUCUCAUUCCUCAAUUUAAUGAUUGGAGAUUGUCUAAGCGUAUAUAUUCCAUAUGUUGAAGCAUACUCAUACAGGGAUGCUAAUUUUUUUAUUUUUUUUAAAUUAUUAGACAUUUUAGUGUUAUAGGGAUGAAAGCUAUAUCAACAAUCAAAACCAAUGAAUUGUUGACCUUUGUCCUCUAACCCUCUCUCUCACCCUCCAAAAUUUAAAAUAUAAAAAUCAAAUGAAAUGAAAUAAAAAAUAAAACAUAAAAGACAAAGUCCAUCAGAAUACUACUUGGUCAUUUAUUAUCUUCCUCAACCAAUUCCUUAAACGAUAUGUCUUUAACAAUAAGCUUUCUAGGGAUUUUGUUCCCUUCUCAAAGACAUAUUUAAUGAAUACAAUGUACCAACAAUACAUAAUUAUCUUGGGAUUUGAUGACUUACAUUUCUACUUUGGUUUACUUUUGAAAUUGAAGAAAAAAAAUUGUUGUCUUCUCCUGAUCUCAACAGAACAUACAUUGGUUUCACAUAGUUUGAUGUUUUUUUUUCUUCAUUAAUUUAAGGGUUUAGUUUAUUACUCUAGUUUAUGUGAAUACCUUUCACGUUAUUUCAAGAUCAGUCAAAGAAGCAUAGACCUAUUAGUUGAACUGAUAAAAUAUUAAGUGAAGGGCCUGAGAAAAGCAACCAAGUGAAUUUGUCCUGUUGCUAGUAAUUAGAAUCUAAGCUCAAACCACAAAUGCGAGCUUCCCACAGUAGCGUGCCCUGGUCUCUCUUUAGACUCUAGCUGUCAGAAUCAGGCAGCAGAGUCUGUGACAAUUCUUUCUUCAACUUCCCAAAGUAUUUGUCAUAAUCAUUACCAUGAAGAGGUUUUCUGACAAAAGAGAGAGGCUGUGUGAGCUGAAAGUGUUGUGAGAAACGAAACCUUGAUCUUUGGUGGCCUAUCGGUGACCUUAAUGUCCUUAUGUGAGGUAAUGAGUUGCUCACUGACAGUGAUUCCUGCUUUGUCUAAUUGAAUUCAGUUUACAGCCAGAGGAACACUGCUGUGCCCCUCACCAUCUACCCAGACAAACUAACUCCUUAGUCUCAUUCCAUUAGACCCUUCGGUAUGACCAGCCACUCAUUGAGGAGGGACCUAAUAGAGAAAUUUAUGUUGAUAAAAAACAACAGUUUUGAAACUUUUUCUAGCAAUUUGAGAGAGCUUCAGAUGUUAAGUUUGAUACAGUGCCUGUUGUGAAGGAUCAGCCCUAUACUCUGCAGCUCUGCGACUUGGACUUGCCAAUCCAACAAUUAUGAUUUCAAGGCCUAAAUAACCAAAUAAUAUCUCAAAAGCUUGAUAUAAGGAGUGAAACGUAC